Molecule: ribosomal RNA, 234 nt
Filed under: uncultured bacterium
Lineage: Bacteria
Description: partial 16S ribosomal RNA
Rfam family: Bacterial small subunit ribosomal RNA
Source: RNAcentral
UUCUUCGGAAUGACUGGGCGUAAAGGGCACGUAGGCGGUUAAUCGGGUUUAAAGUGAAAGUCGCCAAAAAGUGGCGGAAUGCUCUCGAAACCAAUUCACUUGAGUGAGACAGAGGAGAGUGGAAUUUCGUGUGUAGGGGUGAAAUCCGUAAAUAUACGAAGGAACGCCAAAAGCGAAGGCAGCUCUCUGGGUCCCUACCGACGCUGGGGUGCGAAAGCAUGGGGAGCGAACAGG